ACUCCUCGCUAAGACGCCGCCGCCUCCUCCUCCCCAAGACGCCGCUGCCGACUCCUUCCCAAGACGCCGCGCAGCCCGACGCCUUGACGCCGGCAAUCUCCUCUGGCAUACUGGACUUCUCCACGGUGGUUGAGAAGUGGAACAAAGCAGAGGAAGAAUGGGACGUUUGCAAGGUCCCUCGAAAUCGUCUGUUUGAGAGUCAGUUGCUUUUGUGUCGGCGCUAUUGUUGUCAGCAUGCUUAAAUGUACGCAUGUCUUAUGUAUUCUCAGCAUGCUUAAAUGUACGCAUGUUUUUCCUCGGACUUGUGAAUGCUGAAAACGUAUGAGAUAUUUUUGGUUUCAAGUCAUGCUGAUGUGAGAGAUUAUGUUGCUGUUAUGUGACAUCGCAAUUAUGUGAUGAUAUAUGGGUUCCAAGUCAAGCAAAUUAUGUUGUUCAUGUGAA
This is a long non-coding RNA of Aegilops tauschii subsp. strangulata, 441 nucleotides long. RefSeq lists it as uncharacterized. Lineage: Eukaryota; Viridiplantae; Streptophyta; Magnoliopsida; Poales; Poaceae. The record is from RefSeq and is a predicted model, not a curated record.